Molecule: ribosomal RNA, 253 nt
Filed under: uncultured bacterium
Lineage: Bacteria
Description: partial 16S ribosomal RNA
Rfam family: Bacterial small subunit ribosomal RNA
Source: RNAcentral
UACGUAGGGUGCAAGCGUUGUCCGGAAUUAUUGGGCGUAAAGAGCUCGUAGGCGGUCUGUCGCGUCGGCUGUGAAAACUCGGGGCUCAACCCCGAGCCUGCAGUCGAUACGGGCAGACUAGAGUGCUGUAGGGGAGACUGGAAUUCCUGGUGUAGCGGUGAAAUGCGCAGAUAUCAGGAGGAACACCGAUGGCGAAGGCAGGUCUCUGGGCCAUUACUGACACUGAGAAGCGAAAGCAUGGGGAGCGAACAGG